Molecule: ribosomal RNA, 253 nt
Filed under: uncultured bacterium
Lineage: Bacteria
Description: partial 16S ribosomal RNA
Rfam family: Bacterial small subunit ribosomal RNA
Source: RNAcentral
UACAGAGGGUGCAAGCGUUGUUCGGAAUUAUUGGGCGUAAAGCGCGUGUAGGCGGCAUGGCAAGUCGGGUGUGAAAGCCCUCAGCUAACUGAGGAAGUGCGCCCGAAACUGCCGUGCUUGAGUGCCGGAGAGGGUGGCGGAAUUCCCCAAGUAGAGGUGAAAUUCGUAGAUAUGGGGAGGAACACCGGUGGCGAAGGCGGCCGACCUGGACGGUAACUGACGCUGAGACGCGAAAGCGUGGGGAGCAAACAGG